GGAUGGAUGCUUGUCAACUGUUAGU
RNAcentral lists this non-coding RNA (25 nucleotides) under Rattus norvegicus (Norway rat). Lineage: Eukaryota; Metazoa; Chordata; Mammalia; Rodentia; Muridae. The record is from RNAcentral.